Molecule: long non-coding RNA, 458 nt
Filed under: Heterocephalus glaber (naked mole-rat)
Lineage: Eukaryota; Metazoa; Chordata; Mammalia; Rodentia; Bathyergidae
Description: lncRNA (ENSHGLG00100052352.1)
Source: RNAcentral
GUUUUAAAGGGCCCUGUGUACUGCUUUGGUGAGUCAGUGCCAUUGGGACUGACUGAGCAGAACUCAGAAGUUGGCUGGAAAAUAUCGAGUGACCUGAAAAAGAUCGCACACUGUCCUCCUAAGAGACGGUUUUCACCUCACAGUGCCAUCUAGGCCCUUGGAGCCUGUGCAUGUCUGAGAAGGGCCUGAGCGUGGGCAGGUACGGAACAGCUUCCUGGGUCGGUCGUGUUCCGAACCUGCAGGAGGGAAGCAGUGUCGCGUAGACAUGGAGGCGCCUGGAUCUUCAGUGCUCCCCUCCUGUUGGUGCAGCCGGAUCAGUACCAGAGGGAGCAGGCACAGUCUGUGACAGGAAGGUGAACAGUAAGGAAAUUGGACUAAGAGCUCUAGGAAUAUUACUAAGAAAGGACAAAGGUCUACCAGAAAAACAAGCAGGAAACCUGGGUGACCCUAAGUCUACA